RNAcentral lists this microRNA precursor (193 nucleotides) under Oryza glumipatula. RNAcentral describes it as "MIR812 microRNA precursor family". It matches the Rfam family "MIR812 microRNA precursor family". Lineage: Eukaryota; Viridiplantae; Streptophyta; Magnoliopsida; Poales; Poaceae. The record is from Rfam by way of RNAcentral.
AAGAAGACAAAACCUGGAUUUCUGUGUCCAACGUUUGACUGUCCGUCUUAUAUGAAAUUUUUUAUAAUUAGUAUUUUCAUUGUUGUUAGAUGAUAAAACAUGAUUAAUACUUUAUACGUGACUUGUCUUUUAUUUUUUUCAUAAUUUUUUUUAAAUAAGAUAGACGGUCAAACAUUGAACACGGAAACCCAUG